GCCUCGGUAGCUCAAUUGGUAGAGCAGUGGCCUCUUAAGCCAUUUGUUGUGGGUUCGAGUCCCUCCCGGGGUACCA
Molecule: transfer RNA, 76 nt
Filed under: Gammaproteobacteria bacterium
Lineage: Bacteria; Pseudomonadati; Pseudomonadota; Gammaproteobacteria
Also listed under: 2 other names
Description: tRNA-Lys
Rfam family: tRNA
About the family: Transfer RNA (tRNA) molecules are approximately 80 nucleotides in length. Their secondary structure includes four short double-helical elements and three loops (D, anti-codon, and T loops).
Source: RNAcentral